Molecule: ribosomal RNA, 363 nt
Filed under: uncultured Alphaproteobacteria bacterium
Lineage: Bacteria; Pseudomonadati; Pseudomonadota; Alphaproteobacteria
Description: bacterial SSU rRNA
Rfam family: Bacterial small subunit ribosomal RNA
Source: RNAcentral
UAGUGAGUUUGAUCCUGGCUCAGAGCGAACGCUGGCGGCAGGCUUAACACAUGCAAGUCGAACGGACGUAGCAAUACGUCAGUGGCAGACGGGUGAGGAACACGUGGGAACAUGCCCUUUGGUUUGGGAUAACUCAGGGAAACUUGAGCUAAUACCGGAUAAGCCCGAGAGGGGAAAGAUUUAUCGCCGAAGGAUUGGCCCGCGUCUGAUUAGCUAGUUGGUGAGGUAAUGGCUCACCAAGGCGACGAUCAGUAGCUGGUCUGAGAGGAUGAUCAGCCACACUGGACUGAGACACGGCCAGACUCUACGGGAGCAGCAGUAGGGGAAUCUUCCACAAUGGACGAAAGUCUGAUGGAGCAACGG